RNAcentral lists this ribosomal RNA (274 nucleotides) under uncultured bacterium. RNAcentral's name for it is "partial 16S ribosomal RNA". It matches the Rfam family "Bacterial small subunit ribosomal RNA", at positions 523 to 796 of the family's 1533-position model. The record is from RNAcentral.
AUACGAACCGGACAAACGUUAUUCGGAUUUACUGGGUUUAAAGGGUGCGUAGGCGGAUCAAUAAGUCAGUGGUGAAAUCCUGCGGCUCAACCGUAGAACUGCCAUUGAUACUGUUGGUCUUGAAUAUAGACGAGGUGGGCAGAAUGUAGUGUGUAGCGGUGAAAUGCUUAGAGAUGCUACAGAACACCGAUUGCGUAGGCAGCCCACCAGACUAUUAUUGACGCUGAGGCACGAAAGCGUGGGUAGCGAACAGGAUUAGAAACCCCGGUAGUCC